Molecule: non-coding RNA, 1143 nt
Organism: Rattus norvegicus (Norway rat)
Lineage: Eukaryota; Metazoa; Chordata; Mammalia; Rodentia; Muridae
Source: RefSeq, a predicted model, not a curated record
UUGUUAAGGGUGGGUUCAUAGGACUGUGACUCUGAGAGCUCUGGACCAGAAUACCCUAGCCUUCAACAUGACGAAAGUAACCAAGAAAUCACACAAUACUACACCAGAUGUCGAACCAUCAACUACAAGUGCGAAAUCCAAGAAAACUAAGACUUGCCAUCAAUCCAAAAUCAGAACUAGAAGCAAGAAGAGGCCUCAGCCUGGUUCCAAAUGUACUAGGAAGGUGCAGAAGACAACCAAGAAGGUCAAGAAAACCCUGCCAAGAAUCCCCAAAAAUAAGGCUUUGGAGCAUACCGUACCACCUACAAAAAAGACAAAAAAGGCCAAGGGUUCCAUUUGAACACUGAAGGGUGAAGAAAGUGGAAAGUGAGUGCAGAAGCUAUACUAGAAAAAUGAAAAAGCAUAUUAGAAACAGAACAUGAAGAAAUCAAGUUGAUACUUUCCAGGAAGCUUCAUCGUGACUGCCUAGCUAUCAUAGUGCUGCAAAUGCUGCCCAAGGAGAAAAACAAUCAGUCUUAUACAGCUGCGAACCCUCUUGCAAUCACCUUCUGGUGCUACAAAAGACAGUCCACAAGGAAGAAGCUAUCAGAUCAGACCCAGUUCAAAUCUUCUGAGUCCUAUGUCCAAACUGUGUGGAGUUUUCAGCAAUAGGGACAUACCAUCAACUUUCAGAAGCAUCACUGUCCUCUGAGAGGCUUCAUCCAGCAGAUGCAGAUACCUACAGACAACAGUAGACCGAGGUCAGGGACUGUUAUGAAAGAGUGGGUGAAAGAUUGAGGACCCUGAAGAGGAUAAGAACUGCACAGGAAGACCAAGUGAAUCAAUUAACCUGGACAGCUCUCAGAGACUGAGUUACCAAGCAAAAGGACAAAAAUCAUCAUACAACAACCCAUCUAAUCCGAUCUAUCGUGAAGACAUGCUGCUGCCUCCCUAGUCUAAAAAUGACAUACAACGAUAAGCAGAGUGCUGAGUAAAACUGAGAAGUUUUAUAGAGCUGGGGACUGAACCCAGGGCCUUGUGCUUGCUAGGCAAGCGCUCUACCACUGAGCUAAAUCCCCAAACCCAAUGGACUCACUUUUAACCUUAGUAAAGAUUCCUGCCAGCUACCUGAUUCCGUUCAUCCUGAUGGGUCUCUCAGCCAAG